GCAGCUCCCAAAAGCUGCAGCAUGUUCCCCCUCUGGCUUCUAUGCGGAGGCCAGGCCACGCAGCUCUGCAUACCGCCCCAUCUGGAGGCGCUGCCCCUGAAGCUCCCAUUGGCCUUGUUUGCUGGCCAACAGGAGCUGUGGGGGCAGCUCUUGGGGCGGGGGCAGCAUGUGAAGCAGAGCCGCGUAGAGCAAGCCCCCAUCCCUGGUCCCUGGCAGGAGCUCGAGGACUAGAUUAAAACAUUUGAAGGGUUGGAUGCAGCCCCCGAGCCAUAGUUUGCCCACCCCUGCCCUAGAGUCUAAACAAAUAUAUCUCACUUGCUAUUAAUACUUUAGUAUCUUUUGCUCUAAAUACAAAGUCCUGGGAAAUAUUUUCUGUUAGAGAGAUCUCUCACUAAGCUGGAGGGUAGGCAGUUGUUUAUUCAUAAUCCUCAUGCCCACCUCUCCUUCAUAAAACUGAAUCCCUUAGAAACUCUCCAUACAGGCAUGUAGUAAGGUGGGUGCUUCAUCUGUUGGACUUUCACACACACAGCAUAUGGUGAAAUUUCACAAUCACAAAAGAAUGUACUAGUGCAAAGUAGAUUCUAUGGCAAUGACCUCAGUUGUGCAUUUACAAAUAGAGCCCUGUGACACUCCAAAAAAUAUUUUAAAUAUAAAAACAGACAGGCCCUCAUAAGGUCUUGCAACUUGAGAAGUGAUACAAAUCACAUUAUCUUUCUUUUGGGCCCAAAUCUGCACUGCACUGAGGUCAAUAAGAGCAGCCCUGAAUCCCUUCAGAGGUUUAUAUCCAAAGCAGCAUACCAUUUUUAUCUACAGACUGUAGAUCAGUGCUGGUUACUCCUGGAAGAAUACCUCCUUUGGAUUUAAUUAUUUUGAACAAUAUUCUUGAGGCUACAAUCCCCUCAUAGGUUGCAUCAGGUUUGUUUGUUCUGGGGGGCUUUUUGGUGGGGGGAUGGAAUGGAGUCUUGUUUUGUUUUUUUUAAAGAUCUCCCUCCCCUAUUAGAGAAAGAGGCAGAUCACAUCAGCAGGCCUAGACUUUGUUGUGCGCAUGGAACAGGUCAGUAUUUGGGGGGGGAGGGGGAAGAGAAGAGAAACAAAAAUAAAUACUGUUACAUCAAAUUGCAUUACCAGCCACAAUCACCCUUGAAGAGGAAUUCUUUGCCUUCAUCAAAAGGACAGCGCAUCAGAUUAUGAGUAGGGGAGUAAAGGGAUCAUUUCCUACCCCCCACCUUCUCUUGACUGAUUAGGAAUUACCUUUUCCUAGCUUAAGAGAGACUGUACAAGUAUAGGGUGAUGCUUUAUUUAAAAAAAACACUCCCCCUCACCAGUUUUAGUCUCUCCAGUAAGGAUUUGAAAGUCAGAGCUAAUAUUCUUACCCAUGUGCCGGAUGGGUUGCUUCUGAUCCACUCAUCUUUGUUCAGGUAAAGACACUCAAAGCAGCAAAUACAGACAACAAAAACUCUAAAAACCUAAAGUGAAUAGCGUCAAUUCUUUAGAAUUUCAAUUAUUCUUCCUUAUUCUAUUCUGUCUUCACAUUCAUUAGCAUCUUUUCAACUCCUACAAAGCUGCUGGAGUUCAUCUUUCAUCCAAAAUAGCCAUGCAAGGGCACAAAAUGGUGUAAAAACAUUUUUUUGGUCAAAGUAACUUGCUUUCAGAAUUCAACCUGCAUUUUAAUUCUGAUCAAUAUGGGUAUGAAAGGCUGCCAGCAUCCUGUGUUUCUUUUCUAACUGUUGUUUGGCUCCUACCAGCAUGCUUGGAAGAGCUUUCCUGGGGUCAAUUGCCAUCUCUCAAAUCAACAGUCCUUGUUUCAUUAAGCCUAAGGCAUGCCUUCACUAAUGUCCACAGCUGUGCUGCUGUAUUGUAGAUGGGUUCCUACACUUAAAAAAGAGGUUUUUGUGUUGAUGCAGUUAGCGCACCUCUCAGAGAUGGUAGCUAGGUCAACAGAAGAAUUCUAGCUGUAUCUGUAGUGUGGGUUGAUCACACUAUGUUUGUUGCUUCUCACUUUCUCAUGCCUAAACAAUUGUUUUUGUAUAUUAUGUUUGUCAUGUCUUUGGGCUACACUAUUUUUCUUUCUUGCACUUGUGGAGUAUCAUGAUGCUACAUGAGUAUUAACACUUGGCUUUUUGCAAGAGUCUGGGAACACCGUUAUCUCCUCAUUUCAUAUCCUCUCUCAUACUCUUUUCUGUUUAUUUUCUGUCUGCUUUUACUAUUAGAAACUGUGUCACAGAUGUCUUUGUAGAAGAACCUCUGACUAUAGCCCAGGAAAUAGAGAGGACUGGAAUAAUUCACAAUUUUCUCAGUUUGCUCACUCCAACUUCUAUAAGAUCUUUGUAUUUUCAUAAUUUGCAAAACACAGCCAGACAAGGCUCAUGAAGCCCCUAAACUAAAAGGAGCCAACCGUUCCCUGGAGUAGAACUGGAAAAGCAGAUCAUUGUAAAAGCUGAACCUUAUUUGCAUCAAUACUCUUGUUAUGGUGGCUGCUUUUCCACUCUUUGAGGCUAUUAUCUUUGACUUGAACUAAACCUAAGCAAACCAAGAGAUGUGGGUAGCCUUCUGAGACUUCACUUUUGGCUUUAUAUUAGGAGGUGGCAGCAUAUUGAGAGCAUCAUCUGCAACCCUUCUCAGCAAGAACUGUCGGAGUCUCAAACCCAAGUUACCUGAAUGCUGCUAUACUAACAUCCAACCCCCUGCAUCACUAGCAGGAGCCACAUUUUAACCUCAAAUCAUAAGGCUUCUGACAGUUAAUGGUCAACAAUUUCAUUCCAGCAGGAGAGCACUUCUGAAUGUCUGUCUUUAAAACGUGUGUGUAUAUAUACAUUCCAUAGAGAACUGUAAAAAAACAUUACAUUGUUUAAUGUGGUGAAACUAGACAUUUAAGAGCUUCCCUCCAGCAGCUUCACCCACAAUCCCAGCUCUUUAAAUAACUGCACCAUGCAAUACCGUCUGCAUUUCAUAGCUAAACUCCCACUCUGCUCAUUUACAAGUAACAGCAGUAGGUGCCAUCUUACACAUCCUUCCUCCACCUGUGUAUUUCAGACCCUGUUAUACUCAUCCAGUGAGAGACUGAUUAUUAUUGGCUAAUUCUGAAAUACAGCAAGGCACUCUGAUGUAUAUUAGAGGAAGUAUUUAUGCAUGCAUAAUCAGGAUACAAGUCCAACCCCUUCCUACAACCACCAUUCUCAUUCUGAAUAUUAUAGGCUGCAAUGGUAUCUCAACGAGAGCCCCGGUGAAAGGGUCUGGUUUACAAAAGCAACAACACAUAAAGAUGAAGGUCAAACUCCCUUCCAGCAUCUGUCAUUAUAAAAUCGGUUUUACUUCCAUUCUUUAGUCUUCAGUGCUUUACAGAAGCAGUUUCCUCCCCACAGGAAACAAUUAUUUCUCUUCUUCUCCAUCAUAUCUGAAAGUAGCAUUGUAUACCAUAAAAUGUAUAAGUUAAAAUCAGCAGUAAUGUCCACAGAGACAUGGCAGAGAAAUCACUUUUAAAAAUACCUUCUCAGUCAAAGAGGAGGUAAGAGCCAAGGCGAGAAUCUGUCACCAUUUUACCUACCCACCCACACCCUGCAAGUAUCAGGGAUCUGCUCUCAAAGAACACAUAGUUCAACUUGUCUGCUGUCCCUUGCAAUGCAGGAGGGUAGGAUCUUGGGCCCAGGCAGUUUAUGUCACAACUAAAAGAUUUUU
Non-coding RNA from Chelonoidis abingdonii (Abingdon island giant tortoise), 3675 nucleotides. The record is from RefSeq and is a predicted model, not a curated record. NCBI's taxonomy places the organism in Eukaryota, Metazoa, Chordata, Testudines, Testudinidae.